UACGUAGGGGGCAAGCGUUAUCCGGAUUUACUGGGUGUAAAGGGAGCGCAGGCGGUCCGGCAAGUCUGAUGUGAAAGCCCGGGGCUUAACCCCGGGACUGCAUUGGAAACUGUCGGACUUGAGUGUCGGAGGGGUAAGUGGAAUUCCUAGUGUAGCGGUGAAAUGCGUAGAUAUUAGGAGGAACACCAGUGGCGAAGGCGGCUUACUGGACGACAACUGACGCUGAGGCUCGAAAGCGUGGGGAGCAAACAGG
RNAcentral lists this ribosomal RNA (253 nucleotides) under uncultured bacterium. RNAcentral describes it as "partial 16S ribosomal RNA". It matches the Rfam family "Bacterial small subunit ribosomal RNA", at positions 524 to 776 of the family's 1533-position model. The record is from RNAcentral.